GAUGAAGAACGUAGCGAAUUGCGAUAUGUAAUGUGAAUUGCAGAAUUCAGUGAAUCAUCGAAUCUUUGAACGCACCUUGCACCCUUUGGCAUUCUGAAGGGUAUGCUCGUUUGAGUGUCAUUGUACUCUCACACUCCCGAUCUUUGCAUUGGGAGCAGUGGACUUGGGUUUGCUGCUUCACCGUCGCUUACCUCAAAUAGGUUAGUGCAACUCUUGGUUGGACAUAGUACGGCGUGAUAAGUGUUCUUCGCCGGUGCCUCGCAAAGAGGGUGGCCGAUCGGGAUGUUGUGCUCCAAACCGUCUUCGGACAAUCUCUGACGACUUGACCUCAAAUCGAGUAAGACUACCCGCUGAACUUAAGCAUAUCAAUAAGCGGAGGA
RNAcentral lists this unclassified non-coding RNA (380 nucleotides) under soil metagenome. RNAcentral's name for it is "partial contains 5.8S ribosomal RNA, internal transcribed spacer 2, and large subunit ribosomal RNA". The stretch from base 1 to 120 matches the Rfam family "5.8S ribosomal RNA", at positions 35 to 154 of the family's 154-position model. The record is from RNAcentral.